Molecule: ribosomal RNA, 491 nt
Filed under: uncultured bacterium
Lineage: Bacteria
Description: partial 16S ribosomal RNA
Rfam family: Bacterial small subunit ribosomal RNA
Source: RNAcentral
GUGAACGCUGGCGGUAGGCCUAACACAUGCCAGUCGAACGGCAGCACAGUAAGAGCUUGCUCUUACGGGUGGCGAGUGGCGGACGGGUGAGGAAUACAUCGGAAUCUACUUUUUCGUGGGGGAUAACGUAGGGAAACUUACGCUAAUACCGCAUACGACCUACGGGUGAAAGCAGGGGAUCUUCGGACCUUGCGCGAUUGAAUGAGCCGAUGUCGGAUUAGCUAGUUGGCGGGGUAAAGGCCCACCAAGGCGACGAUCCGUAGCUGGUCUGAGAGGAUGAUCAGCCACACUGGAACUGAGACACGAUCCAGACGCCUACGGGAGGCAGCAGUGGGGAAUAUUGGACAAUGGGCGCAAGCCUGAUCCAGCCAUACCGCGGGGGUGAAGAAGGCCUUCGGGUUGUAAAGCCCUUUUGUUGGGAAAGAAAAGCAGCAGGUUAAUACCCCGCUGUUCUGACGGUACCCAAAGAAUAAGCACCGGCUAACUUCGUG